RNAcentral lists this ribosomal RNA (247 nucleotides) under uncultured bacterium. RNAcentral's name for it is "partial 16S ribosomal RNA". It matches the Rfam family "Bacterial small subunit ribosomal RNA", at positions 524 to 776 of the family's 1533-position model. The record is from RNAcentral.
UACGUAGGGGCAAGCGUUGUCCGGAAUCAUUGGGCGUAAAGAGCGCGUAGGCGGUCCGGUAAGUCCGCUGUGAAAGUCGGGCUCAACCCUCGAACUGCCGGUGGAUACUGUCGGCUAGAGUGCGGAGAGGCGAGUGGAAUUCCUGGUGUAGCGGUGAAUGACGCAGAUAUCAGGAAGAACACCGUGGCGAAGGCGGCUCCUCUGGACGGUACUGACGGCUGAGACGCGAAGCGUGGGAGCGAACAGG